RNAcentral lists this small RNA (130 nucleotides) under chicken gut metagenome. RNAcentral describes it as "Clostridiales-1 RNA". It matches the Rfam family "Clostridiales-1 RNA", at positions 25 to 158 of the family's 166-position model. The record is from RNAcentral.
ACGCCGGGCAGGCUUGCCUGAACCGGCGCCCGGAUAUCUGGCGGGCAAGGGGACAUGAGCAGGGAGGGCGAAAGCCCGGAGUGCGAAUGUCCCCGGAGGAUGGCGGGAGUGCGAAGCACGGAGCCAUCCU